Molecule: ribosomal RNA, 425 nt
Filed under: uncultured bacterium
Lineage: Bacteria
Description: bacterial SSU rRNA
Rfam family: Bacterial small subunit ribosomal RNA
Source: RNAcentral
UGGGGAAUAUUGGACAAUGGGCGCAAGCCUGAUCCAGCCAUGCCGCGUGAGUGAUGAAGGCCCUAGGGUUGUAAAGCUCUUUCGGCGGGGACGAUAAUGACGGUACCCGCAGAAGAAGCCCCGGCUAACUUCGUGCCAGCAGCCGCGGUAAUACGAAGGGGGCUAGCGUUGUUCGGAAUCACUGGGCGUAAAGCGCACGCAGGCGGAUCGUUAAGUCAGGGGUGAAAUCCCGAGGCUCAACCUCGGAACUGCCUUUGAUACUGGCGAUCUUCGAGUCCGGGAGAGGUGAGUGGAACUCCGAGUGUAGAGGUGAAAUUCGUAGAUAUUCGGAAGAACACCAGUGGCGAAGGCGGCUCACUGGCCCGGUACUGACGCUCAGGUGCGAAAGCGUGGGGAGCAAACAGGAUUAGAUACCCCGGUAGUCC